Molecule: ribosomal RNA, 250 nt
Filed under: uncultured bacterium
Lineage: Bacteria
Description: partial 16S ribosomal RNA
Rfam family: Bacterial small subunit ribosomal RNA
Source: RNAcentral
GCAAGUCGAACGGUAACAGAAAGAGCUUGCUCUUUGCUGACGAGUGGCGCACGGGUGAGUAAUAUAUAGGUAACGUGCCUCUUAGUCUGGGAUAGCCAUUGGAAACGAUGAUUAAUACUAGAUACUCCUUCUCAUUAUAAUUUGAGUCGGGAAAGUUUUUCGCUAAGAGAUCGGCCUAUAUCCCAUCAGUUAGUUGGUAAGGUAACGGCUUACCAAGGCAAUGACGGGUAGCGGGUUUGAGAGGAUGAUC